Molecule: ribosomal RNA, 468 nt
Filed under: uncultured bacterium
Lineage: Bacteria
Description: partial 16S ribosomal RNA
Rfam family: Bacterial small subunit ribosomal RNA
Source: RNAcentral
GACGAACGCUGGCGGCGUGCUUAACACAUGCAAGUCGAACGGAAAGGCCCUGCUUUUGUGGGGUGCUCGAGUGGCGAACGGGUGAGUAACACGUGAGUAACCUGCCCUUGACUUUGGGAUAACUUCAGGAAACUGGGGCUAAUACCGGAUAGGAGCUCCUGCUGCAUGGUGGGGGUUGGAAAGGUUCGGCGGUUGGGGAUGGACUCGCGGCUUAUCAGCUUGUUGGGGGGGUAGUGGCUUACCAAGGCUUUGACGGGUAGCCGGCCUGAGAGGGUGACCGGCCACAUUGGGACUGAGAUACGGCCCAGAAUCCUACGGGAGGCAGCAGUGGGGAAUAUUGCACAAUGGGCGGAAGCCUGAUGCAGCAACGCCGCGUGCGGGAUGACGGCCUUCGGGUUGUAAACCGCUUUCGCCUGUGAUGAAGCGUGAGUGACGGUAAUGGGUAAAGAAGCACCGGCUAACUACGUG